Molecule: ribosomal RNA, 468 nt
Filed under: uncultured bacterium
Lineage: Bacteria
Description: partial 16S ribosomal RNA
Rfam family: Bacterial small subunit ribosomal RNA
Source: RNAcentral
GACGAACGCUGGCGGCGUGCUUAACACGUGCAAGUCGAACGGAAAGGCCCUGCUUUUGUGGGGUGCUCGAGUGGCGAACGGGUGAGUAACACGUGAGUAACCUGCCCUUGACUUUGGGAUAACUUCAGGAAACUGGGGCUAAUACCGGAUAGGAGCUCCUGCUGCAUGGUGGGGGUUGGAAAGUUUCGGCGGUUGGGGAUGGACUCGCGGCUUAUCAGCUUGUUGGUGGGGUAGUGGCUUACCAAGGCUUUGACGGGUAGCCGGCCUGAAAGGGUGACCGGCCACAUUGGGACUGAGAUACGGCCCAGACUCCUACGGGAGGCAGCAGUGGGGAAUAUUGCACAAUGGGCGGAAGCCUGAUGCAGCAACGCCGCGUGCGGGAUGACGGCCUUCGGGUUGUAAACCGCUUUCGCCUGUGACGAAGCGUGAGUGACGGUAAUGGGUAAAGAAGCACCGGCUAACUACGUG